AUGAAGCUCCUGCUCCUUUACUCCUCGCUUCUGCUUCUCCUUUUGCUAUCCCCCCAGGGCCUAGCCUCUACUCAAGGUAGAGGGCCGAUGCAUUACCAGCUCAAGGAGCCAGCUUCAAAGGUGGUGGAGGGCGCGGAGGCGAUGUCGGCGGUGAGGAUCGGGUCGAGGCCGCCGCGGUGCGAGGGGAGGUGCGCCCUGUGCGGCCGGUGCGAGGCGGUGCAGGUGCCGGUGGCGCCGCGGGACAAGGGGGGGAGCCACUUCCGCCUGUCCGGGGCCUUCGGCGGCGACGACGACGAGGGCUCCACCAACUACAAGCCGCUCAACUGGAAGUGCCGGUGCGCCGACAGGAGGCCGAUCCUCAACCCGUGA
Molecule: ribosomal RNA, 369 nt
Filed under: Triticum aestivum (bread wheat)
Lineage: Eukaryota; Viridiplantae; Streptophyta; Magnoliopsida; Poales; Poaceae
Description: partial small subunit ribosomal RNA
Source: RNAcentral